This 324-nucleotide ribosomal RNA is filed under the name uncultured prokaryote. Its description in RNAcentral is "bacterial SSU rRNA". It matches the Rfam family "Bacterial small subunit ribosomal RNA", at positions 26 to 352 of the family's 1533-position model. The record is from RNAcentral.
AGAUUGAACGCUGGCGGCAUGCCUAACACAUGCAAGUCGAGCGGCAGCGCGGGGGCGACCCUGGCGGCGAGCGGCGGACGGGUGAGUAAGGCAUCGGAAUCUGCCCUGAUGUGGGGGAUAGCCCGGAGAAAUCCGGAUUAAUACCGCAUAUGCCCUACGGGGUAAAGCGGGGGACCGAAAGGCCUCGCGCAGCAGGAUGAGCCGAUGUCCGAUUAGCUGGUUGGUGGGGUAACGGCCCACCAAGGCGACGAUCGGUAGCUGGUCUGAGAGGAUGAUCAGCCACACUGGGACUGAGACACGGCCCAGACUCCUACGGGAGGCAGC